This 511-nucleotide ribosomal RNA is filed under the name uncultured Glomus. RNAcentral describes it as "SSU rRNA". It matches the Rfam family "Eukaryotic small subunit ribosomal RNA", at positions 547 to 1063 of the family's 1831-position model. Lineage: Eukaryota; Fungi; Glomeromycota; Glomeromycetes; Glomerales; Glomeraceae. The record is from RNAcentral.
UUUGGGAGGCAAGUCUGGUGCCAGCAGCCGCGGUAAUUCCAGCUCCAAUAGCGUAUAUUAAAGUUGCUGCAGUUAAAAAGCUCGUAGUUGAAUUUCGGGACCAUCAUGUCGGUCGUGCCUCGGUACGUACUGGUAUUGUUGGUUUCUCCCUUCUGACGAACCAUGAUGUCAUUUAUUUGGUGUUGUGGGGAAUCAGGACUGUUACUUUGAAAAAAUUAGAGUGUUUAAAGCAGGCUCACGCUUGAAUACAUUAGCAUGGAAUAAUGAAAUAGGACGUUUGAUUCUAUUUUGUUGGUUUCUAGGAUCGACGUAAUGAUUAAUAGGGAUAGUUGGGGGCAUUAGUAUUCAAUUGUCAGAGGUGAAAUUCUUGGAUUUAUUGAAGACUAACUACUGCGAAAGCAUUUGCCAAGGAUGUUUUCAUUAAUCAAGAACGAAAGUUAGGGGAUCGAAGACGAUCAGAUACCGUCGUAGUCUUAACCAUAAACUAUGCCGACUAGGGAUCGGAUGAUGU